This is a long non-coding RNA of Actinia tenebrosa (Australian red waratah sea anemone), 613 nucleotides long. NCBI's taxonomy places the organism in Eukaryota, Metazoa, Cnidaria, Anthozoa, Actiniaria, Actiniidae. The record is from RefSeq and is a predicted model, not a curated record.
UCAUUCAGUAAACACCGCUUAAUAGCUUAAAGCUUAAAGAUCUUGUUUGAAAAGUCAGCUAUUUAUAGCGUUGCUUUUGAGCAUCGUUUUAUCGAUUUUCCUUGCAAGAUCAGCUACUACGAGGGAGCUACUACUGUUCAAGGUUUUUCCAACCGCUAUAUUGCAAAAGUGUAGUCUAAAGCAGACCAAUUUUGAMGAAAUKUACUUGAAAGCUCUUCUACUUUUGCUUUGCCUGUUUGUUGCAAAUAUAUCUUCUUUGCCUCAACAUGAAGACGAGGCGCUAGAUGAAAUCUUGCCAAUGUCUCCUAAUUUAGAAACAAAGAAGAAAGAUGCCAUUUUCGUUGAUGAAGAUUUGAAGCCUGUGAAGUUGUCCAAAAGACAAGACCAUGCUUGCGUGCACAGGCAUUAUGCUAAAUUUAUACUUGCUCAGGGGCAGCUCAUUGGGAUACACAUUGUCAGCUGUCAUAUUGAAGUUUUACAAGGAUGCGCGUCAAGCAUUCCAAAGUAUGGAAGGAGAUUGUGUGCGCCAGUAAAGGUCACCUUCCCAGAUGGAAAUGCCUACCCAGUAAGCUGUAAAUGUAAGGCGUAAAUAAAAAACGAGAGCAAAUUAAAA